RNAcentral lists this ribosomal RNA (253 nucleotides) under uncultured bacterium. RNAcentral's name for it is "partial 16S ribosomal RNA". It matches the Rfam family "Bacterial small subunit ribosomal RNA", at positions 524 to 776 of the family's 1533-position model. The record is from RNAcentral.
UACGUAGGUGACAAGCGUUGUCCGGAUUUACUGGGCGUAAAGAGCGCGUAGGCGGUCGAUCAAGUCGAGUGUGAAAGCCCCCGGCUCAACUGGGGAGGGUCAUUCGAAACUGGUCGACUCGAAGGCAGGAGAGGGUAGUGGAAUUCCCGGUGUAGUGGUGAAAUGCGUAGAUAUCGGGAGGAACACCAGUGGCGAAGGCGACUACCUGGCCUGUUCUUGACGCUGAGGCGCGAAAGCUAGGGGAGCAAACGGG